UCUACCUGUCCCUCUCUCCGCCUGUCCCUCUGUCUGCCUGUCCCUCUGUCCACAGCUGGAGCGUCAGCAGGAGCAGCAGCAGGAGGAGAACCUCAGAGCUCCAGAGUUUGUUAAAGUCAGAGAAAAUCUGAGACGGACGUCCUUCCAUGCAGACGAGGAGGUGGCGUAGAGACGGAGACGCAAAGUGUCCAGAUGGCAACAGGAGGACAGGAUGCGUCCAUAGCAGGACUCUGCGAGGUCGGGGACAUGGCGGCCAUGAUGUUUCCCAGCAGAUGUUAAACCUGUCAGAUCCCUGAUCUGAUGAUUGUUAGACAGCUGCUGCCCCCUGGUGGUCAGCUUGUAGACAGCUGCACCUGGAUGAGCAGGAACCGUUCCUCUGGGUCCUCCUGCUGCAGAAACACCUUUUAUGUAGGUUUAUUAAAACCAGAGCCGUUUUAUAGACGUAACCAUGUUAGAUCUGUGUUGUAGAGUUCAGCUCGGUGAGUUCAAGCUAACUCCUGUAGGACGUCUAACAGCUGCUAACAUCUGUCCCGCCCAGCUGUCCCUCUGCUGGGACCUGACGAUGCAAAGCAGCUGCAGUCACGAACCGACAGAGGAACCGCUGAGGCCGUGGAGACACGAGACCACUUCCUGUCAGAGCAAGAACAGCUGCAGAGAUUUCACAGCACUUCAUGCUCAGACGAUGGACAGUAGGGUUUGUUGACUGAUGUUGUGCCUGAAUAAAUCUUUAUUAAAGCAGCUCA
Poecilia reticulata (guppy) is the source of this 743-nucleotide non-coding RNA. The record is from RefSeq and is a predicted model, not a curated record. Lineage: Eukaryota; Metazoa; Chordata; Actinopteri; Cyprinodontiformes; Poeciliidae.